RNAcentral lists this long non-coding RNA (2722 nucleotides) under Daphnia magna. RNAcentral's name for it is "uncharacterized LOC116928335". Lineage: Eukaryota; Metazoa; Arthropoda; Branchiopoda; Diplostraca; Daphniidae. The record is from RNAcentral.
CUUUUUGCUAGUGAGAUUAUUGGGGUGCACACAGAAGAGCGUUCGGGAGUGACGCCUUUACCUCACCAGGUGAUGCGUCUCUGAUUGGGAUGCACCUCUCGAGGGCUCGGGUGUUGGCGGGUUAUCCAUGGGGGCGAGUUUUAGAGCAUCCAGAGCCAUCUAUACUUCACAUUUUCAACUGACCGAAAAAUUGUUGUAUUCACUUUUUUUUUCGUUUUUUUUUCUGAUUUUAGGUUACACAAUGACGAGGUGAGAAAUUUGUUUUAAACAGGUUAGUUUGUUUUGGCGUCUUUAUUUUGACGGGUAUAAGUGAUAGGCGACAAAUGGGAAAGUUUUCAGCUUUUUUUUUUUUUUUUCAAAUUGAAUGUUGAGCUCAAUUACGCUGUCUCCAUGGCGACUUCGGAUUCUGAAGAAAUAAUAAUUCUAUGGAUACACUGAAAACUUAUUUGAUGAGCGGAAUACGGUUUAUGUACUUACGCUGUUCGUCUUCCUCGUUAAACAUGAAUUCAUCUUGGAUGUCCUUCAGAUACUGCGUAGAGCGCGUUUCAUCCAGAAAUAACGAGUACGCCUUUUUAAUAUCUUCGACAGCAAUCUUUUCACGGGAAAUGGAGGAAAGAAUAGCUAAUAAAUAAGACGAGCACUUCAAUAACAAUUUGGGUACCGACCUCCAUAGGCUUUUCGCUUGCGCGCUAUGAGAUUGGCAACUGUGAUGAGCUGAAUGGCGUAACGUAAGCUUGUUUCCAUGGAAAGCCUUGUCAGAACGAGAAGUGCAUCUUCCUGCAUCUCUGCAUCUUCCUCUUCACACCUGUUCAAGGAAAAGUCGUAAUUAGGAUCCGUUUCACGUAAAUCGCUUAAAAAUACAACUCGCCUGAUCUUCAGAAUCUGUUUCAUCUCUUUUUCCUCGUAGGGUUGGGUGGCGAUAAUGACCAUACGAUCGAGUAAAUCAAUAGGAAUGCCAUGAGGGGACCGAUAUUUUGUUCCACGAAUUUUCGUAAUUCCACGAUUGGUAGCCAUGAUCAAUACAGGCGCCAUAUCGUCUUCCAGGGCACGAUUCAAAAAGGAAAAACAUUCCAUAUCGAGCAUAUGGACCUAAGGGACACUUUAGUUAGAAAUGCAUCCCGAAAAAAAAAAAAAAAAAAAAACAAAAAAACGUAAAGUUGGUUCACACUAGUCAUACUUCAUCAAUAAAUAAAACUCCAGGGACGAUUUCCGCCUUUCCUUCUUCACGCCAUUCGGCUACUUUACUAUUUAUCUGGUCGCGAACUUCGGAUUUGAUUUCGCCAGUGUCCCCUAUUGGUUGGAUGUCAAAUGGAGAUUAUUUAAAUUUCAAGGCCGAAAAAGCAAACAUCUCAGCUCACCGGAGAAGAGGGCGAGAAAACCCUGAGUUCUGCUAUUGAUUACAUCAAUCUCGUGCAAGGUGACUGUGUGAGUCACUUCUUUCCGCUUUUGUAAUUCACCUACGCAAAUAGACGAAAUGUGGCGUAAGUAUAUUGUGUCACACCGCAAGGAAACACGUGACCAAAAUGGUGAGUUUACCUUCCGGACAUUGAACGAAUCUAGUUUGAGGCCCAGUGGCAUCAUAAUCUCUAGCCCUAGUGAAUGAUCGCCCAAGUUUCGAAAUUUUGCCGGUGGCUUUGUCUAUCGUAAUGACGUCUCCAGCUUGUGCCUAUGCCAUGAAAGAAGGUAAGGUGAAAAGUCUUUACAACAUUUACACCACAGUUUCCCACCUUUUCCUUGAUGAGGGAUUCAAUCAUUUUGUUUCCCAAAUCAUAGACUGUUUCCAUGUCUGUUGUUUUCAAGGUAAGCUUUCCCACUUUAGCACCAGUCCCAGUUGCAGGUCUAUCAAUUUGGACUUCAACAACCUCACCCUCAAUAAUCUCUGUUUCUUCCCUGUUGAAAACAAAUAAAGAAAAAUGUCAACUGAGAAUUUUGUACUAAAACAGUUGUUGAUCAUAGAACCAUACUUGAUACGGACUCCAAUGGAUUUGCGAAAAGCUUGGGUUAGAGCUUCAGUUUUGCUCAUUUCAAGGCUGUAAAUCUCUGAUCCAGCCAUAGAUGUGAAAGGUGUAUUGUCACCAAGAGCCUGUGCCAUACCCAUGGCAAUUGCAGUUUUCCCUAAAAGAUAAACCAUAUUACUAGUGAUGACACACAGUUACUUCACUUUUAUUUGUGAUUUAGAACAAACUAACCUGUUCCUGGUUGUCCAGCGAUCAAUACAGCUCUGCCUGCAAUUUUUCCUUCUCUGAUCAUUUCCAGAACAACGCCAGAGGCUCUUCGAGCUGUCAACUGGCCAACCAUACCUUGAGACACCUGAAAAUGGCAUUAUUACAUGAUGACCAGAAAUUUAUGGGUAUUCAUUAGCAGAAUUUUGAUUGAUAUACCUCUCUUGGUUCCAAAGCAUCAUCAAGUCCGAAGGCCUCGAAUGUGAGAAUGUGUGCCGAUUCGUUCAAUACGGGAGAAUUCCCGAACUUCUGCUACUUUAACUGAAGGAAUGGCCUAUGUAUUAAAAGAUUUCAUCGAAAAAGCCAUGGAAAUGUGAGAAAAAUGUACAAAAUCAGACUUCAGUUUCCUAACUUCUGUAACAAGCCGUCGGUGGUAACCAUGGAAACACGUUUAAUUUUGACGAUUGUUUCACGAAUCUUCACCCCUCUUUAGUAUUCUAUUUUGUGUCUCUGUUUAAAAUAAUUUAACAUUUUUGUGAAUAAACCGGUUGUAAUUUUAA